This 310-nucleotide ribosomal RNA is filed under the name Bacillus velezensis. RNAcentral describes it as "bacterial SSU rRNA". It matches the Rfam family "Bacterial small subunit ribosomal RNA", at positions 76 to 378 of the family's 1533-position model. The record is from RNAcentral. Lineage: Bacteria; Bacillati; Bacillota; Bacilli; Caryophanales; Bacillaceae.
GAGCUUGCUCCCUGAUGUUAGCGGCGGACGGGUGAGUAACACGUGGGUAACCUGCCUGUAAGACUGGGAUAACUCCGGGAAACCGGGGCUAAUACCGGAUGCUUGUUUGAACCGCAUGGUUCAAACAUAAAAGGUGGCUUCGGCUACCACUUACAGAUGGACCCGCGGCGCAUUAGCUAGUUGGUGAGGUAACGGCUCACCAAGGCAACGAUGCGUAGCCGACCUGAGAGGGUGAUCGGCCACACUGGGACUGAGACACGGCCCAGACUCCUACGGGAGGCAGCAGUAGGGAAUCUUCCGCAAUGGACGA